RNAcentral lists this ribosomal RNA (577 nucleotides) under Carnobacterium sp. RNAcentral describes it as "bacterial SSU rRNA". It matches the Rfam family "Bacterial small subunit ribosomal RNA", at positions 355 to 924 of the family's 1533-position model. The record is from RNAcentral. Lineage: Bacteria; Bacillati; Bacillota; Bacilli; Lactobacillales; Carnobacteriaceae.
GUAGGGAUCUUCCGCAUGGACGAAAGUCUGACGGAGCAAUGCCGCGUGAGUGAAGAAGGUUUUCGGAUCGUAAAACUCUGUUGUUAGAGAAGAACAAGGGUGAGAGUAACUGCUCAUCCCCUGACGGUACCUAACCAGAAAGCCACGGCUAACUACGUGCCAGCAGCCGCGGUAAUACGUAGGUGGCAAGCGUUGUCCGGAUUUAUUGGGCGUAAAGCGAGCGCAGGCGGUUCUUUAAGUCUGAUGUGAAAGCCCCCGGCUCAACCGGGGAGGGUCAUUGGAAACUGGAGAACUUGAGUGCAGAAGAGGAAAGUGGAAUUCCAUGUGUAGCGGUGAAAUGCGUAGAUAUAUGGAGGAACACCAGUGGCGAAGGCGACUUUCUGGUCUGUAACUGACGCUGAGGCUCGAAAGCGUGGGGAGCAAACAGGAUUAGAUACCCUGGUAGUCCACGCUGUAAACGAUGAGUGCUAAGUGUUGGGGGGUUUCCGCCCUUCAGUGCUGCAGCUAACGCAUUAAGCACUCCGCCUGGGGAGUACGACCGCAAGGUUGAAACUCAAAGGAAUUGACGGGGGCCCGC